RNAcentral lists this transfer RNA (66 nucleotides) under Odontoglaja guamensis. RNAcentral's name for it is "tRNA-Tyr". The record is from RNAcentral. Lineage: Eukaryota; Metazoa; Mollusca; Gastropoda; Cephalaspidea; Aglajidae.
AUUUUGGUGGCCGAAUAGAGGCGAUAGACUGUAAAUUUAUUUAUGAAUACAUAUUCCCUUGCAAUA